RNAcentral lists this transfer RNA (69 nucleotides) under Marmota monax (woodchuck). RNAcentral's name for it is "tRNA.Ala". The record is from RNAcentral. Lineage: Eukaryota; Metazoa; Chordata; Mammalia; Rodentia; Sciuridae.
AGGGAUGUAGCUCAGUGAUAGAGUGCUUGCUUAGCAUGCAUUCAAUCCUGGAUUCAAUCCCCAGCACUA